AUUGAACGCUGGCGGCAUGCCUUACACAUGCAAGUCGAACGGCAGCACGGACUUCGGUCUGGUGGCGAGUGGCGAACGGGUGAGUAAUGUAUCGGAACGUACCUUUCAGUGGGGGAUAACGUAGCGAAAGUUACGCUAAUACCGCAUAUUCUGUGAGCAGGAAAGCAGGGGAUCGCAAGACCUUGCGCUGAUUGAGCGGCCGAUAUCAGAUUAGCUAGUUGGUGGGGUAAAGGCCUACCAAGGCUACGAUCUGUAGCGGGUCUGAGAGGAUGAUCCGCCACACUGGAACUGAGACACGGUCCAGACUCCUACGGGAGGCAGCAGUGGGGAAUUUUGGACAAUGGGGGCAACCCUGAUCCAGCCAUGCCGCGUGAGUGAAGAAGGCCUUCGGGUUGUAAAGCUCUUUCGGCCGGGAAGAAAUCGCAUCAGCUAAUACCUGGUGUGGAUGACGGUACCGGAAUAAGAAGCACCGGCUAACUACGUGCCAGCAGCCGCGGUAAUACGUAGGGUGCGAGCGUUAAUCGGAAUUACUGGGCGUAAAGCGUGCGCAGGCGGUUGUGUAAGACAGGCGUGAAAUCCCCGGGCUCAACCUGGGAACUGCGCUUGUGACUGCACAGCUAGAGUACGGCAGAGGGGGGUGGAAUUCCACGUGUAGCAGUGAAAUGCGUAGAGAUGUGGAGGAACACCGAUGGCGAAGGCAGCCCCCUGGGCCGAUACUGACGCUCAUGCACGAAAGCGUGGGUAGCAAACAGGAUUAGAUACCCUGGUAGUCCACGCCCUAAACGAUGUCAACUAGGUGUUGGGUGGGUAAAACCAUUUAGUACCGUAGCUAACGCGUGAAGUUGACCGCCUGGGGAGUACGGCCGCAAGGUUAAAACUCAAAGGAAUUGACGGGGACCCGCACAAGCGGUGGAUGAUGUGGAUUAAUUCGAUGCAACGCGAAAAACCUUACCUACCCUUGACAUGUCCAGAAGCCCGGAGAGAUUUGGGUGUGCCCGAAAGGGAACUGGAACACAGGUGCUGCAUGGCUGUCGUCAGCUCGUGUCGUGAGAUGUUGGGUUAAGUCCCGCAACGAGCGCAACCCUUGUCGUUAAUUGCCAUCAUUUAGUUGGGCACUUUAACGAGACUGCCGGUGACAAACCGGAGGAAGGUGGGGAUGACGUCAAGUCCUCAUGGCCCUUAUGGGUAGGGCUUCACACGUCAUACAAUGGUCGGUACAGAGGGUUGCCAAGCCGCGAGGUGGAGCCAAUCCCAGAAAGCCGAUCGUAGUCCGGAUUGCAGGCUGCAACUCGCCUGCAUGAAGUCGGAAUCGCUAGUAAUCGCGGAUCAGCAUGUCGCGGUGAAUACGUUCCCGGGUCU
This 1359-nucleotide ribosomal RNA is filed under the name uncultured bacterium. Its description in RNAcentral is "bacterial SSU rRNA". It matches the Rfam family "Bacterial small subunit ribosomal RNA", at positions 28 to 1381 of the family's 1533-position model. The record is from RNAcentral.